Molecule: long non-coding RNA, 743 nt
Organism: Lepidothrix coronata (blue-crowned manakin)
Lineage: Eukaryota; Metazoa; Chordata; Aves; Passeriformes; Pipridae
Exons: 2
Source: RefSeq, a predicted model, not a curated record
UUAAGGGUUGUUAAUUAGUGGGACCCAAGUUUUGGGGUUCGUUAGGCUGUGGGGGCUUAUUAAGGGUUGUUAAUUAGUGGGACCCAGGUUUUGGGGCUCAUUAAGGUUCAUUGGGUGAUGGGGGACCCUGGGGUGGAGUUUAAUGAGCUUAAUGAGGUCACUGAGGUUAAUGAGGUUAAUGGGGCCCAUGGGAUUAACAAGAUCAAUGGGUUAAUGAGCUUAAUGACCUUAAUGAGGUCAAUGGGUUAAUGAUUUUAAUGAAGUCAGGGGGUUAAUGGGGUUAAUGAGGUUCAUGGCACUAACGGGGUCAAUGGGUUGAUGAGGUCAGUGGGUUAAUGAGGUUACCGAGCUCAGUGGGGUUAAUGAGGUCAGUGGGUUAAUGAGGUCAAAAAGGUCAGUGGGUUAAUGGGUUUAGCCAGGUUGAUGAGGUUAAUGAGGUCAAUGGGGUUGGUGUUAAUGAGGUUAAUGAGGUCAGUGGGGUUGGUGUUAAUGAGGUUAACGAGGUUAAUGAGUUGGGAUUGCGGUUAAUGAGGUUAACGAGGUCAGUGAGUUUAAUGAAGGAGCUUCCUGGGGGUCCCGGACCCUUCCUGGGGCAUCCCCUCCCCCCCUCCCCUCCCCUCCCCCCCGGCCCCUCCCCCUCCCCGCGGGGGGCGGGGCCGAUGUACAGAUUUUAUAGGGGGGGAGGGGCCGGCGCGUUUUUAAUUAACGGCGAUUUCGGGGCUAAUAAAGGAGGAUUUGGUUAA